RNAcentral lists this ribosomal RNA (466 nucleotides) under Vreelandella stevensii. Its description in RNAcentral is "partial 16S ribosomal RNA". It matches the Rfam family "Bacterial small subunit ribosomal RNA", at positions 338 to 795 of the family's 1533-position model. The record is from RNAcentral. Lineage: Bacteria; Pseudomonadati; Pseudomonadota; Gammaproteobacteria; Oceanospirillales; Halomonadaceae.
CCUACGGGGGGCUGCAGUGGGGAAUAUUGGACAAUGGGGGCAACCCUGAUCCAGCCAUGCCGCGUGUGUGAAGAAGGCCCUCGGGUUGUAAAGCACUUUCAGUGAGGAAGAACGCCUGGUGGUUAAUACCCAUCAGGAAAGACAUCACUCACAGAAGAAGCACCGGCUAACUCCGGUGCCAGCAGCCGCGGUAAUACGGAGGGUGCGAGCGUUAAUCGGAAUUACUGGGCGUAAAGCGCGCGUAGGUGGCUUGAUAAGCCGGUUGUGAAAGCCCCGGGCUCAACCUGGGAACGGCAUCCGGAACUGUCAAGCUAGAGUGCAGGAGAGGAAGGUAGAAUUCCCGGUGUAGCGGUGAAAUGCGUAGAGAUCGGGAGGAAUACCAGUGGCGAAGGCGGCCUUCUGGACUGACACUGACACUGAGGUGCGAAAGCGUGGGUAGCAAACAGGAUUAGAUACCCGGGUAGUC